RNAcentral lists this ribosomal RNA (474 nucleotides) under uncultured bacterium. Its description in RNAcentral is "SSU rRNA". It matches the Rfam family "Bacterial small subunit ribosomal RNA", at positions 26 to 518 of the family's 1533-position model. The record is from RNAcentral.
AGGACAAACGCUGGCGGCGUGCUUAACACAUGCAAGUCGAACGGUCUUCCUUCGGGAAGAUAGUGGCGGACGGGUGAGUAACACGUAGAUAACCUACCCUUAUGUGGGGAAUAACCCCUCGAAAGAGGAGCUAAUACCGCAUGAGUUCUCUGUUGUUAGACGGAGAAGAAACCUCGGUUUAUACCUGGGGCAUGAGGAGGGGUCUGCGGCGGAUUAGCUAGUUGGUGGAGGUAAUGGCUCCCCAAGGCAACGAUCCGUAGCUGGUCUGAGAGGACGGCCAGCCACACUGGGACUGAGACACGGCCCAGACUCCUACGGGAGGCAGCAGUGGGGAAUAUUGCGCAAUGGGCGGAAGCCUGACGCAGCGACGCCGCGUGAAUGAUGAAGGUCUUAGGAUUGUAAAAUUCUUUCACCGGGGACGAUAAUGACGGUACCCGGAGAAGAAGCCCCGGCUAACUUCGUGCCAGCAGCCGC